This 503-nucleotide ribosomal RNA is filed under the name uncultured bacterium. RNAcentral's name for it is "bacterial SSU rRNA". It matches the Rfam family "Bacterial small subunit ribosomal RNA", at positions 28 to 485 of the family's 1533-position model. The record is from RNAcentral.
GAUGAACGCUGGCGGCGUGCCUAAUACAUGCAAGUCGAACGCAUUGUGGUUGAAAUGAUAUGAAGAACUUGUUCAGAUUUGAUUUUCAACAUUGCAAUGAGUGGCGAACGGGUGAGUAACACGUGGGAAACCUACCUCUUAGCAGGGGAUAACAUUUGGAAACAAAUGCCAAUACCGUAUAAUAAUUAAAACCGCAUGGUUUUAGUUUAAAAGAUGGUCUUGCUAUCACUAAGAGAUGGUCCCGCGGUGUAUUAGUUAGUUGGUGAGGUAAUGGCUCACCAAGACAAUGAUACAUAGCCGAGUUGAGAGACUGACCGGCCACAAUGGGACUGAGACACGGCCCAUACUCCUACGGGAGGCAGCAGUAGGGAAUCUUCCACAAUGGACGAAAGUCUGAUGGAGCAACGCCGCGUGUGUGAUGAAGGGUUUCGGCUCGUAAAACACUGUUGUAAGAGAAGAAUGACAUUGAGAGUAACUGUUCAAUGUGUGACGGUAUCUUAACC